This 492-nucleotide ribosomal RNA is filed under the name uncultured bacterium. Its description in RNAcentral is "partial 16S ribosomal RNA". It matches the Rfam family "Bacterial small subunit ribosomal RNA", at positions 29 to 507 of the family's 1533-position model. The record is from RNAcentral.
AGUGAACGCUGGCGGUAGGCCUAACACAUGCAAGUCGAACGGCAGCACAGUAAGAGCUUGCUCUUACGGGUGGCGAGUGGCGGACGGGUGAGGAAUACAUCGGAAUCUACUUUUUCGUGGGGGAUAACGUAGGGAAACUUACGCUAAUACCGCAUACGACCUACGGGUGAAAGCAGGGGAUCUUCGGACCUUGCGCGAUUGAAUGAGCCGAUGUCGGAUUAGCUAGUUGGCGGGGUAAAGGCCCACCAAGGCGACGAUCCGUAGCUGGUCUGAGAGGAUGACCAGCAACACUGGAACUGAGACACGGUCCAGACUCCUAGGGGAGGCAGCAGGGGGAAAUAUUGGAAAAUGGGCGCAGGCCUGAUCCAGCCAUACCGGGGGGGGAAAAAAGGCUGUGGGGUUGAAAACCCUUUUUGUGGGAAAAAAAAAGCAGCAGGUUAAUACCCCGCUGUUCGGAGGGACCCAAAAAAAAAAGCACCGGCUAACUUCGUG